This 364-nucleotide ribosomal RNA is filed under the name uncultured bacterium. Its description in RNAcentral is "bacterial SSU rRNA". It matches the Rfam family "Bacterial small subunit ribosomal RNA", at positions 29 to 373 of the family's 1533-position model. The record is from RNAcentral.
AACGAACGCUGGCGGCGUGGAUUAGGUAUGCAAGUCGAACGCGAAAGAGGGGGUAACUCCUCGAGUAGAGUGGCGAACGGGUGAGUAACACGUGAGAAACCUGCCUUCAGCAGGGGGAUAACACUCCCAACGGGGUGCUAAUACCGCAUGAGACCACGGAUUCGCAUGGAUCGUGGGGUCAAAGGUGGCCUCUGCUUGCAAGCUACCGGCUGAAGAUGGUCUCGCGUCCCAUUAGCUAGUUGGUGGGGUAAUGGCCCACCAAGGCGACGAUGGGUAGCUGGUCUGAGAGGAUGGUCAGCCACACUGGGACUGAGAUACGGCCCAGACUCCUACGGGAGGCAGCAGUCGAGAGGCUUUGGCAAGU